Molecule: ribosomal RNA, 368 nt
Filed under: uncultured bacterium
Lineage: Bacteria
Description: bacterial SSU rRNA
Rfam family: Bacterial small subunit ribosomal RNA
Source: RNAcentral
GUUAAAGUUUAGGUAAUUAACCUACCCUAUAGUAUAAUUAGAAGUGGCAUCUAUUUAAUUAUUAAAGUUCCAACGGUAUAAGAUGAGCAUGCGUCCCAUUAGCUAGUUGGUGUGGUAACGGCACACCAAGGCGACGAGUGGGUAGGGGUCCUGAGAGGGAGAUCCCCCACACUGGUACUGAGACACGGACCAGACUCCUACGGGAGGCAGCAGUGAGGAAUAUUGGUCAAUGGGCGCAAGCCUGAACCAGCCAUGCCGCGUGCAGGAUGACGGUCCUAUGGAUUGUAAACUGCUUUUGUACAGGAAGAAACACUCCCUCGUGAGGGAGCUUGACGGUACUGUAAGAAUAAGGAUCGGCUAACUCCGUG